Molecule: ribosomal RNA, 750 nt
Filed under: uncultured bacterium
Lineage: Bacteria
Description: bacterial SSU rRNA
Rfam family: Bacterial small subunit ribosomal RNA
Source: RNAcentral
GGGAAGUCUUACNUGGCAGUCGACGAGCUUGCCUAGAUGAUUUUAGUGCUUGCACUAAAUGAAACUAGAUACAAGCGAGCGGCGGACGGGUGAGUAACACGUGGGUAACCUGCCCAAGAGACUGGGAUAACACCUGGAAACAGAUGCUAAUACCGGAUAACAACACUAGACGCAUGUCUAGAGUUUGAAAGAUGGUUCUGCUAUCACUCUUGGAUGGACCUGCGGUGCAUUAGCUAGUUGGUAAGGUAACGGCUUACCAAGGCAAUGAUGCAUAGCCGAGUUGAGAGACUGAUCGGCCACAUUGGGACUGAGACACGGCCCAAACUCCUACGGGAGGCAGCAGUAGGGAAUCUUCCACAAUGGACGAAAGUCUGAUGGAGCAACGCCGCGUGAGUGAAGAAGGGUUUCGGCUCGUAAAGCUCUGUUGGUAGUGAAGAAAGAUAGAGGUAGUAACUGGCCUUUAUUUGACGGUAAUUACUUAGAAAGUCACGGCUAACUACGUGCCAGCAGCCGCGGUAAUACGUAGGUGGCAAGCGUUGUCCGGAUUUAUUGGGCGUAAAGCGAGUGCAGGCGGUUCAAUAAGUCUGAUGUGAAAGCCUUCGGCUCAACCGGAGAAUUGUAUCAGAAACUGUUGAACUUGAGUGCAGAAGAGGAGAGUGGAACUCCAUGUGUAGCGGUGGAAUGCGUAGAUAUAUGGAAGAACACCAGUGGCGAAGGCGGCUCUCUGGUCUGCAACUGACGCUGAGGCUC